GGGCAGCAGUGGUUGUGCUUGGACGGCUGCACCCUGUGGGGAGCAGGGAUGGGUGGGCCUGGCCGAGGUGAGCCCCUGCAUGGUGAGGUCCCCCUAUGCUGGCGCUGAGCCCCAGCCCCAGGGUCCUGUAGGCUGGGCUCCGUGAGACCCUGGGCUCAGCUUCCAGCUCACAUCUGUCAGUGAGGUUGGGGGUAACCUCGGCCCCUCCGGAUGCUGUGAGCAGCCAGGGGUCCUGGUGCCACCUGCGGGAUGGGAGUGCCCAGCCUGAGUCUGCACAUAGAACCCCCCUUCCUGGGGGCCCCUCCCUGGGGCAUGGGUGGCCCCAGAUGCUGCCUGGAGACCACUGUGCAACCUGAAACCCCCACAUCCUUCCUAGCGACGCUUCCCUGACUUCUCCUACAUCACCCAGAACGGCCGCCUAACAGACUUCCUGGACUGCGUGAUCAUUAGCCACUUCCACCUGGACCACUGCGGGGCACUCCCCUACUUCAGCGAGAUGGUGGGCUACGACGGGCCCAUCUACAUGACUCACCCCACCCAGGCCAUCUGCCCCAUCUUGCUGGAGGACUACCGCAAGAUCGCCGUAGACAAGAAGGGCGAGGCCAACUUCUUCACCUCCCAGAUGAUCAAAGACUGCAUGAAGAAGGUGGUGGCUGUCCACCUCCACCAGACGGUCCAGGUAGAUGAUGAGCUGGAGAUCAAGGCCUACUAUGCAGGCCACGUGCUGGGGGCAGCCAU
Molecule: small RNA, 738 nt
Filed under: Pan troglodytes (chimpanzee)
Lineage: Eukaryota; Metazoa; Chordata; Mammalia; Primates; Hominidae
Description: retained intron
Source: RNAcentral